This 1227-nucleotide long non-coding RNA is filed under the name Homo sapiens (human). RNAcentral describes it as "HSALNT0229097". Lineage: Eukaryota; Metazoa; Chordata; Mammalia; Primates; Hominidae. The record is from RNAcentral.
CUUCAACUGGGUAGAAGCUGCUUUUGAAACAGUUCAAAACUGUUUGAAGUUUUCCACUUGUAUAGUGGCAAAAAGCACAAUUACUUUUGCACCAACCUAAUUUCAUUUCAUAUGUCUUCUAGAAUCCAGGCUACAAUUUACAAUGGUACAACUUUACAGGCUAGGGAAAGAAUGGGCUGGUCUGUUAUAUCCAAGAGGUGGAGUCAAUGGCAGUGAUAGUUUGUGCCUGGAACAACCAUAGAAACGAUCCAUGAAAAUGCCUUUUAAGUAUGAUUUUUAAUAGCAGCAUAAUAGUCUUUCACUUUGGGGGAGUGAAGGUUGAUGACACACCUGCUAUUGUGCAACAUCUGGAAGCUUUCUGUUGACAGCAGCCUGGUCCACUUAGGCAGAGGAAGUCCCUCUCCCCCAUAGUAUCCUGGAAUAAGGGGAGCCAGUGUGAUUUAAUUCAGGCCCUUCCAAAAUCUUGCUAAGCAAAAACAACUGUCCCUAAGUGUUCAGGAAACAUCAACCCAUCCUUCCCCUAACAUGUUCUUCUUCUGGAUAAAAACAUUUUCAGAGUAUCACAUGCUCCUGAAAAUGUACUUCCUUGUAUGCGAAACCUGCUAACAGUCCCCUUGAGAAGUGUUUGAAUGUGUAAUGAGUGCCCAGGCUCCUGGUGUCAGAUCUGUGAUGGAGAGGAUUCUCUCCCCAAGGCAGCAUUCACUCCAAGAACUUCCACCAGGUGACUCUGGGGAGCAGUUGGUGUUAACUCCAGGCUGCUGUGGUCAGGAAAUCACUUUGCAUAAGAACUCAAUCCUCUUUUUCCUCAAGGCCCCUAUUCUGUAAUAUAAAAUUGGGUCUCUUUUAGGCUGGUCAGAAUCUGCUUUCCUUCCCCUUCCAUAGAACCUGCCUCUAAGGGAUUCCAAAUCUAUCUUUAUGGGCUACACCAUUUCGUGGGGGACACAGAUGUGUAAUUAAGUCAUGAUGAUACAGUUUGAAAAGUACCAACUAUAAGACUAAUCAAAAUGAUAGAGAAUCUUAGGAGAAGGAGGAGAAAAAUUUGCCCAGGAAAUCUAGAAAACUUAGGAAUAGAGGAAGCAGUCAAAUUCAGUCUUGAAGAACAGGAGUUUGUCAAGAGGCAGACCAUGAGGUCAGGAGAUUGAGACCAUCCUGGCUAACAAGGUGAAACCCUGUCUCUACUAAAAAUAAAAAAUAAAAAAUAAAAAAAUUAGCUGGGCAUGGUGGCAC